CGCCGCCGGCCCUCUGGGAAACGUUGGUCCGGGUCCACAAUACCUUGUGCAGACCCCGAGCGGAUGCAGAGAAUCGAGCCGCCGGCCUUCCCGCGUGCAGACGAGUUGUCUGCACAGCCUGAGAGUGUGUUGUGGGGCUGCCCUGCAUUGCCGAGUCAGCCCACACAGCACUGGCGCACGGAAACUCGGACACUCGCUCCUCCGGGUCUCCCCACGCCGGGAGCGGCCUGGGCCCCAGCCCCUGCUACUUUGCCCAGGAUGACCCUCCGGACGCCACAGUCACCACCACUCCAGCCUUAGGGCGUCAACAUGCCCGAGGCCUGGACACUCUUUUCUUCCAUCCUCCGCAUCCGUGUAGCUUCUCCCUGACCUAGGCCGAAUUUGGAGAGGUGGAUGCCCCUUUAUUGUCCCGGAGCCCCUGGUUGUUGGCCGACCGUGUACCUGAACUUUUCCUUGAUUCUGGUUCCCGCCCCGCCGCCAGCUUGCUCAGAUUGGCGAGGGGUUUGCAGAGUACAGAAAAGAGCCCCUCUCCUGAACUAGGGUGUGGAUGAGAGGCGUGUUGCGGGAAUGAAGUGGACAAACGGUAUCAGAAAAGGGAGUGGAGGAAGAGAAUGAAACCCCGCGUCGCUGGGAGGCAAGAGUCGAGGGCGGAAAUUCAGACUCUACGAUUUCCUUAUCUCUUAGAGGUCCCCAAUGUACUAAAUGGAUUUCCUUUUUCUAAACCAGUGUGUGAAAAAUUUCAGAUGUCAAAGAGAUAGUCAAAAGAUGUUUCUUCAAGUUCCUUGAAGUUCCUUGGCCAACCUUGUUUCAGCUAUAUUCUGCCUCCCAGUCCCACUGGAUUAUUUUGAAGCAAAUCCCAGACAUCACCAAAUAGUUCUGUCCAGGUGGAAGAAAUUUUCAUCCCACUGUCUUGAGUACUUUUAGCUGAUCUAAUAAUUAAAUUGACAUAAGAUAGAUUGAUAGGAGGGAAAAAAUCCAAUUUAAUUCAUACACAGGGAAAUCUCACAGAAAAAGGACUACCAAAGAGACCAAAGGAGGCUGUUUAUAUGUUGUUUUUUGACAAAGAAAUAUUGUUUGUGAAGAAUUAACAAAGGGGUUUGUGCUUGGGGUAGCAAACUAAAGAAAUAGCAAAGUUUGUUAUGUAGCUAUCUUAGCCUUGAAUUCCCUCACUCUGGUGAUAAAACAAAAUUUAUAUUUAAAGGCAGGAUAAGAAAAACUGAACAUAAAAUUCUCUCUCUGUGUUUGUUUGGGCCUCUUCCUUCCCUCCCUAACGUGCAGUGUGCACCUGCGUUACAUAUUAACCAGAUGGGAGUGACUGCUCAACUAUACAGAUCAAUUUUUUCCCCUUUCUUCUAAUGCUACAGUGUAACUUUUAUUUGCUGUUGUUACUUCUUAAAACUUAAAAGAAUAGCAUUCUUUCUCAACUCUGUAGAGGGUCGGGAGUCAUGGUGACUUGUUGCUCACUUUGUAAAUGCUUACUUGGACUGUUACCUUGGUAAACCUUAUGUAAAUUAUCAGUAUGGCAUUUUGAUGUAGGAUCCUUUGUCUUGAAAAUGUACAUGACUAGUGCCUUGGGCUUUUAACAGGCAGCACACCACGUUUGCUUGUCUCUCUUUUUCUGGUGUUUAAUCUGAGCUUCGGGUUCAGGAGUAUGCAGACUGAAGCAACCAUUGAACAUUUCCCACCAGUUUUUCACACCAGGUAAGGGAUUCCUCAGAAUCGUCAAAAGUGACAAAAUUACCGAUGCCAAGAUUCUACCCUGGAUCUUUAAACCCGAAACUCCAAAUUUGGGGCCUGUGAGUAGCUAUCUGGAAGGCUCCGCAGGCGGCUGUUAAGGGCUGGAAAAGCUAAUCUCUGUCCCAGACGUGCUUCCAUCACCUUCGGCCUGGUAUUCCCAGUCCUUCCACACGUUUCUGUGCCAGUCCGUCCCCGCUGGGCUGUGAACUCUGGGACCCCCAGCGAACCAGCUCUAGGCCGCCUUAUGGUCUGCAGGAGGACGGCGACGAGGUCGGGGCACCGAUGAACCCGGAGCCCACAAAGCCGCUGCCCUCCGGGUGGCGGGCCCUGCUGGUCCCACGAGGCCGGAGGGAGAGAGCAAGCACCACACCGGGGGAUUUUAGAAGUUCCAGAAGGCCCUCAGCAUCUCGAUCGCCACAGCCGGCCGCCUUAUCGUCCAGUCGUCAUGGGGAGACCUGUCCACCCCCGUGGCCGGCCGACCUCGUGGCGCAACGGUAGCGCGUCUGACUCCAGAUCAGAAGGUUGCGUGUUCAAAUCACGUCGGGGUCAGCGUUCCCUUUUCUAGAGCUCGGGUAGCUUUUAUUUAUUCUUAUUUGCAACUCUGUUGAGGUCCCAUCCAGCAGAUUAGAGAAGAAACACUUCACAGGGGCCGGAAGGGGAGGGUCCCUGGCUCCAAGUCCCGAGCCGCCCCGUCGGGGGUGGGGAGCUCCAAGAUCUCGCGAUAGUUUUUACUGUAGAUCCGGGGACUGUAAAUCUGGGCGGAUAGCGGGGUUCCUGAGGAGUGACGCACGCCCCAGAAAUCCAACCCCGAGUCGGGUGCUCGCGCAGGCUAGGAUAUCGCUCGGCAGCCAGAGCCCUGCGAGUCGUCCUCGCGGUGCCGGGCGGGAUCCCUCAGGACACCAUCCCUACGCGACGUAGUUAGGUUCACGCUUUCUCCGAGAAGGAAGAAUCCAGACCCCAGAGAGGAGAUCCUAAACUGCUUUCCUGUGGACGAGGUGGCCGAGUGGUUAAGGCGAUGGACUGCUAAUCCAUUGUGCUCUGCACGCGUGGGUUCGAAUCCCAUCCUCGUCGGCCUGCGAUUUCGCAGCUGUCUUUAUAUUUUAUAACCUUGUGUGUGCCAGGAUUCAA
This is a long non-coding RNA of Bubalus bubalis (water buffalo), 2865 nucleotides long. RefSeq lists it as uncharacterized. The record is from RefSeq and is a predicted model, not a curated record. Lineage: Eukaryota; Metazoa; Chordata; Mammalia; Artiodactyla; Bovidae. The transcript has 3 exons.